UGAGGAAUAUUGGUCAAUGGUCGGGAGACUGAACCAGCCAAGCCGCGUGAGGGAUGAAGGUGCUAAGCAUUGUAAACCUCUUUUGUCAGGGAACAAAGGCAUCCACGAGUGGAUGUGUGAGUGUACCGGAAGAAAAGCAUCGGCUAACUCCGUGCCAGCAGCCGCGGUAAUACGGAGGAUGCGAGCGUUAUCCGGAUUUAUUGGGUUUAAAGGGUGCGUAGGCGGCCUGUUAAGUCAGCGGUAAAAGCCCGGGGCUCAACCCCGGCGAGCCGUUGAAACUGGCUGGCUGGAGUUGGCGAGAGGUAUGCGGAAUGCGCGGUGUAGCGGUGAAAUGCUUAGAUAUCGCGCAGAACUCCGAUUGCGAAGGCAGCAUGCCGGCGCCACACUGACGCUGAGGCACGAAAGCGUGGGGAUCAAACAGGAUUAGAUACC
RNAcentral lists this ribosomal RNA (432 nucleotides) under uncultured bacterium. RNAcentral's name for it is "bacterial SSU rRNA". It matches the Rfam family "Bacterial small subunit ribosomal RNA", at positions 355 to 786 of the family's 1533-position model. The record is from RNAcentral.